CUACGGGCCGCUCCAGUGAGGAAUAUUGCACAAUGGGGGGAACCCUGAUGCAGCAACGCCGCGUGGAGGAUGACGCAUUUCGGUGUGUAAACUCCUUUUAUAUGUCAAGAAAAUGACGGUAGCAUAUGAAUAAGCACCGGCUAACUCCGUGCCAGCAGCCGCGGUAAUACGGAGGGUGCAAGCGUUACUCGGAAUCACUGGGCGUAAAGGACGCGUAGGCGGGUUGGAAAGUCAGGUGUGAAAUCCUACAGCUUAACUGUAGAACUGCACUUGAAGCUUCUAAUCUAGAGUAUGGGAGGGGGAGAUGGAAUUAGUGGUGUAGGGGUAAAAUCCGUAGAUAUCACUAGGAAUACCUAAAGCGAAGGCGAUCUCCUGGAACAUUACUGACGCUAAGGCGUGAAAGCGUGGGGAGCAAACAGGAUUAGAUACCCUUGUAGUC
This 439-nucleotide ribosomal RNA is filed under the name uncultured bacterium. Its description in RNAcentral is "partial 16S ribosomal RNA". It matches the Rfam family "Bacterial small subunit ribosomal RNA", at positions 339 to 795 of the family's 1533-position model. The record is from RNAcentral.